This 253-nucleotide ribosomal RNA is filed under the name uncultured bacterium. RNAcentral's name for it is "partial 16S ribosomal RNA". It matches the Rfam family "Bacterial small subunit ribosomal RNA", at positions 524 to 776 of the family's 1533-position model. The record is from RNAcentral.
UACGUAGGGGGCAAGCGUUGUCCGGAUUCAUUGGGCGUAAAGAGCGUGUAGGCGGCCAGGUAGGUCGGUUGUGAAAACUGGGGGCUCAACCUUCAGAGGUCGACCGAAACCAUCUGGCUAGAGUCCGGGAGAGGAGAGUGGAAUUCCUGGUGUAGCGGUGAAAUGCGCAGAUAUCAGGAAGAACACCCGUGGCGAAAGCGGCUCUCUGGAACGGUACUGACGCUGAGACGCGAAAGCGUGGGGAGCGAACGGG